Molecule: ribosomal RNA, 479 nt
Filed under: uncultured Paracoccaceae bacterium
Lineage: Bacteria; Pseudomonadati; Pseudomonadota; Alphaproteobacteria; Rhodobacterales; Paracoccaceae
Description: bacterial SSU rRNA
Rfam family: Bacterial small subunit ribosomal RNA
Source: RNAcentral
GGUGAGCGGCGGACGGGUGAGUAACGCGUGGGAAUAUGCCCUUCUCUAAGGAAUAGCCUCGGGAAACUGAGAGUAAUACCUUAUACGCCCUACGGGGGAAAGAUUUAUCGGAGAAGGAUUAGCCCGCGUUAGAUUAGGUAGUUGGUGGGGUAAUGGCCUACCAAGCCUACGAUCUAUAGCUGGUUUGAGAGGAUGAUCAGCCACACUGGGACUGAGACACGGCCCAGACUCCUACGGGAGGCAGCAGUAGGGAAUCUUAGACAAUGGGGGAAACCCUGAUCUAGCCAUGCCGCGUGUGUGAUGAAGGCCUUAGGGUCGUAAAGCACUUUCGCCAGAGAUGAUAAUGACAGUAUCUGGUAAAGAAACCCCGGCUAACUCCGUGCCAGCAGCCGCGGUAAUACGGAGGGGGUUAGCGUUGUUCGGAAUUACUGGGCGUAAAGCGCACGUAGGCGGAUUAGUAAGUUAGAGGUGAAAUCCCA